CUCCACCCUCCUAUCUUGAACAUUGUUUAUAGCAAGUGACUUCACUUUUUACUAUUUAAGUAUAUCUCUGUAUUUACACCUUUUUGGGAGGUUGUGCUAUAUAGUAUAGGCAUUUAUUAAGGGGCGCCCUCGAAGGCACUUAGAUUUUCUAUCUUACAAGUGUCAGGACUACCUAUAUUUUCUACAUAUCUAUUUAUUUUUGCAUCUAAUCCUAGCUUGCUACUGCCUCCUAUUUACAGGUAUUCUCUGCCUCUUCUUAUUCCUUUUUUCUUUUUUAGUUACUUACUUUUAAGGGGGAUAGUUCAGUAUUUAAUUUCUUAUCACCAGUAAACGCAAUUAAAGUGCUUGAUAUGGUGAGUAAUGCAGGAGUGGUAAGUUAAAGACACAUCCUCAGCACUUCCAUGUCGAAAGUGACAUCACCUCAUGAUACUCCAGAUGUGUUUCUGCAUCUUGCAUGCCCAGGCAAUUCUUCUGUCUGGGUUAAUUUAAUUUGGUUGCGCCAGGACAACCAGGCAUUAAAUGUAAAUUUUAAACCUUACAGAAUUUAGAAAUAAAAAAUAGCAGAACCCAUCGCUAACUUUUACUCAUAAGUUUGUGCAAAACUCUGACCUCUCCUUUUAGAAUUUUGGCUAACUAAAGUGCCUCCUUUUUCGAACCACUCGCAAUUAAGCUUCAAUGUUUCUACCUUAUUCCUGGUAGGAUUAGCAAAUCCCCACAGAAAAAAUAAACACACCUUUUUCUCACAUUGGUGAGUUAAAGGACCACUAUAGUGCCAGGAAAAGAAACUAGUUUUCCUGGCACUAUAGGGUCUUUGGGUCCCUCCCACCCUCAGGGUCCUACUCCCGCCGGGCUGAAGGGGGUAAAGGCUUACCUUUCUCCAGCACCGGGCUCCCUCGGCACAGGGGACUCUCCGAUGUCAUCCGCCGAAUCUGCAUGCGCGGCAAGAGCUGCAUGCGCAUUCAAUUAGUCCAUAGCAAAACAUUUCCCGAUGCUUUCCUAUGGACGUCGGCGUCUUCUCACUGUGAUUUUCACAGUGAGAAGCGCAGAAGCGCCUCUAGCAGCUGUCAAUGAGACAGCUACUAGAGGCUAGAUUAACCCUAAUGUAAACAUAGCAGUUUCUCUGAAACUAUGUUUACAGCUGCAGGGUUAACACUAGAGGGACCUGGCACCCAGACCACUUCAUUGAACUGAAGUGGUCUGGGUGCCUAUAGUGGUCCUUUAACUUAGUACUAGGCAGGUUGUGUGUGUGUGUGUGUGUGUGUGUGUUUCAUAUCAAUACACAGCAAUUGAAGGGCUCUCUUUCAGAGUUUAGUUUUCUUAAUUGUGGUUUUGGUAGGAGCUAGAGAGAGGGAUAAAUAAAUUAUUCUAACCCCACCCCCCUCCCAAACUUUAAUGUGUUAGCACACUACAACUCUAAUGAAUUCAGUCAGUUGAUUUUGGCUCUAAACAGUUUCUGCCAUCAUGCGUUUGAUGUCAGUAGCCAAUAAUAAUAUGUGAUGUGCUAACUAAGAGCAUUCCAUUGCAAUUGAUAAAAUAAUACUGCCAUUUGAAUUUCUCAAAUGCUAUUUUUUAUUUUUUUUUAAAAAUAACAAAACCAAAGCAAUUUUAAAAAUUAUCUGCGUGAGUUAUAGUCACUUUCAAAUUUAUUAUGUGAUGAUACAUAUAACAAAUCUGAUGACUCCCACAUUGUAGUAGAAAAUGAAGAGAUGGUAAUUAAUGUGCUUUUUUCUGGUAUUUCUAUGUUCUUGCAUGGCAAUUAUCUUGCAAUGCUUUAUAUUCUAUUUUCAUUUUUUUGUCUCAAUAAAAUAGAAAUUGUUCCAGGGUGUGGUGAUAGUGUAACUUUCUGGGAAAACUUUUUUUUUUUUUUU
Molecule: non-coding RNA, 1868 nt
Organism: Pelobates cultripes (western spadefoot toad)
Lineage: Eukaryota; Metazoa; Chordata; Amphibia; Anura; Pelobatidae
Source: the annotation of a GenBank genome assembly